CCUGUCAUUUCUAUAGGCCAAUA
Molecule: microRNA, 23 nt
Filed under: Columba livia (rock pigeon)
Lineage: Eukaryota; Metazoa; Chordata; Aves; Columbiformes; Columbidae
Also listed under: 1 other name
Description: cli-miR-215-3p
Gene: cli-miR-215-3p
Source: miRBase by way of RNAcentral